AUACUUAGGGUGCGAGCGUUAAUCGGAAUUACUGGGCGUAAAGCGAGUGUAGGCGGCUAUAUAAGUCGGAUGUGAAAGCCCCGGGCUCAACCUGGGAAUUGCAUUCGAAACUGUAUAGCUAGAGGUUGGUAGAGGUAAGUGGAAUUCAGGGUGUAGCGGUGAAAUGCGUAGAUAUCCUGAGGGACAUCAGUGGCGAAGGCGGCUUACUGGACCAAAACUGACGCUGAGGCUCGAAAGCGUGGGGAGCAAACAGGAUUAGAUACCCCAGUAGUCC
RNAcentral lists this ribosomal RNA (274 nucleotides) under uncultured bacterium. RNAcentral describes it as "partial 16S ribosomal RNA". It matches the Rfam family "Bacterial small subunit ribosomal RNA", at positions 523 to 796 of the family's 1533-position model. The record is from RNAcentral.